AGCGCAGCAGCGCCACCUGGUGGUCGAUGCGCUUCCUUUGCAGAUCACGCACAGCCCUGAGAUCCACCUCUCCUUCCUACGCACCACGCAUUUCUUCACUGGACACCAGCCUGCGUCAAUCUUCCUGUAAAGCAAAAGAAGCGUGAGGUUGGUGGGGGAGGAAUGGUGUUAUCUCCACCUUUGGCGAGAUCCAUGUCACCGUGUUCAGGGGAAGGGCCAGGCCUUACUCCCCAUGCAGAGAGGAGGCUCUGGCCGUGAAGGCGCCUGUGGAGAGAAUGGAGUUCUCAGCAGAGGAAUGAAAGACAGCCCUAGGAACAUGAUACACCUCAUGGGUAGCUGACUGACCCACCCAUCUGCCACCCCCAGCUGAAGGAAGCAGCUAGACUGUACCCUUCACCCAUCCUUCAGUUGUAUUCCACUGGACGUGGACCCUCUACAAGUGUGGACAUUCCUGGAUCUCAGUUGCUCUUCCUGCUGUUGAGGAGUCUCCACUGGUGUGGCUCAUGCCUAGAUGGGCUCUGCAGGAGGCUUAGUGUCUCCCAGUUCUCAAGGCUAAUAUUCAGUGAACCCAGACCAAGCCUCAAAGUACACAGGGGCUCAGAUUUUCAUCUAUGAAAUGGAAGAAUCCAUCUCCCUCUUUCAGGUGUAGUGGUAAUUAUAUAUAUACAUAUAUAUAGACACACACAUUUAUACACGAACACAUACAUGACAAUCAGUAAUCUAUAUAUUGAUGGUGUUCUUAGUGUUGCCUUUAUUGCUCAGCUGAACUCUAUAACCAAAAAUUGGAUCAUGGAUUGUGAAGGAAGAACUCAUUUCUUUUCUCUGGUGGAGCACUCGGUAGGCAUUUCUGCCCUUUGGGUUCAAAUGAGAAAGUAGCUUUAGCCUGAGGGAGAAAGAAGAUUAUGACUAUUAUUAUUAUUAUUAUAAUAGAGAUAAGGUCUUGCUAUGUUGCCCAGGCUGGGGUGCAGUGACUAUUCACAGCUGUGAUCAUAGUGGACUACGUCCUUGAACUUCAGGGCUCCAGCAAUGUUCCAGCCUCAGCCUCCUGAGUAGCUGGGACUACAGGUGCAUGCCACCAUGUCUGGCCUCAUUUCAUUGUUAUUUUACUUCAAAUGCUUUAUUUUAAAUGUUAAAAUAUAUGUUUUUAUAUUCAAAAGUGAAACCCUAUUUGAUCACAGAAGACUUUAAGAUGCACAGACAGUUAGAAACAUCACCUAGACCUUUCUUUAAAAAAUCACUGCUAUUAUAUUGUUGAACCUUUGUAGACUGCAGUGCAAAUGGUGGUCCCUGGAGCUGUCUUGUGCAGUGGUGCUGAUUUUCAUUUUGUUAUUUUCUAUAUAUGUAUUUUUAUAUAUGCUGUCAUUUUACAAAGUUGCAUUCAUAUGUUAAGGGUUAUCUUGGAUGUUGCUUUUGGAAUGUAUUAUUAUACAAGUAGUUUUCCAUGUUAUAAGCUCUGCAUAAAGUUUAUACACUUUUUCAA
RNAcentral lists this long non-coding RNA (1480 nucleotides) under Homo sapiens (human). RNAcentral's name for it is "HSALNT0333694". Lineage: Eukaryota; Metazoa; Chordata; Mammalia; Primates; Hominidae. The record is from RNAcentral.